Molecule: ribosomal RNA, 489 nt
Filed under: uncultured bacterium
Lineage: Bacteria
Description: partial 16S ribosomal RNA
Rfam family: Bacterial small subunit ribosomal RNA
Source: RNAcentral
UUGAACGCUGGCGGCAGGCCUAACACAUGCAAGUCGAACGGUAACAGGGAUCAGCUUGCUGAUUCGCUGACGAGUGGCGGACGGGUGAGUAAUGUCUGGGAAACUGCCUGAUGGAGGGGGAUAACUACUGGAAACGGUAGCUAAUACCGCAUAACGUCGCAAGACCAAAGAGGGGGACCUUCGGGCCUCUUGCCAUCGGAUGUGCCCAGAUGGGAUUAGCUAGUAGGUGGGGUAACGGUUCACCUAGGCGACGAUCCCUAGCUGGUCUGAGAGGAUGACCAGCCACACUGGAACUGAGACACGGUCCAGACUCCUACGGGAGGCAGCAGUGGGGAAUAUUGCACAAUGGGCGCAAGCCUGAUGCAGCCAUGCCGCGUGUAUGAAGAAGGCCUUCGGGUUGUAAAGUACUUUCAGCGGGGAGGAAGGGAGUAAAGUUAAUACCUUUGCUCAUUAACGUUACCCGCAGAAGAAGCACCGGCUAACUCCGUG